CGUGUGUCCUCAGCCCAAAUCCCUUCCGCCAUGUCAGACCGUCUCUCCUCAUUGUGGGAAAAGGAAACCGUUCUGCUUUUUCUUGCUCCCUCUGUCGGCCAGUACUAGAACUGCUUUGGGGAGACCGGUGAAGAGAGACUGCAAACAAAAACUUAAGAGGUUCUCUAACUCUGGUUUCAUAAAAAAUAGCUGAAGAGGGCCGGGCACGGUGGCUUACGCCUGUAAUCCCAGCACUUUGGGAGGCCGAGGCGGGCGGAUCACUUGAGGUCAUGAGUUUGAGACCAGCCCGGCCAACAUGGCGAAACCCCGCUCUACUAAAAUACAAAUAUUAACCGGGUGUGGUGGCACACUCCUGUAAUCCCAGCUACUGAGGAGGCUGAGAGAGGAGAAUCGCUUGAACCGGGGAGGUGGAGGUUGCAACGGGCCGAGAUCGUGCCACUGCACUCCAGCCUGGGCGACAGAGUGAGACUUAGUCUCAGAAAAAAAAAAAAAAUAGCUGAAGAGAGCGUGUUAAAAAAAAAUUCAGAUUCGAAGAUGGGCGCGGUGUCUCGUGCCUAUAAUCCCAGCUACUCGGGAGGCGAGAGGAUCGCUUGGGCCCAGGAGUUUGAGUCUAGUUCAAGUCCCGCCUUGGGCAACAUAGCAAGACUCUGUCUCUAAAAAAAAAAGUUUAGGCUCAAACACACCUCCUGCUGUCCCAGAAAAUUGAGUUGCUGGUUUCUGAGACAGGGUCUCACUCUUUGGGUUGUUGGUUUUGGAGACAGGGUCUCGGUCUGUCGCCCAGGCUGGAGUGCAGCAGCACAAUCAUAGCUCACCUCAGUAUAACUUUGUAGUGCCAGAAAGGAAGGAAGUAUUCCACACGUGUGCUCACACACAAAAUUAGGGGGUAUGCCAAAGGAGCCAACUGAAAGAACUCCCAAUGGCCAAAGCUGGAACAAUUUGAGCAUCAAAAUAAAGUAGUAUUGGAUUAUAAUCCCAAACAUAAAGUAUCCAUGAGCCUAUGGUCAUAUAGAUGAAGUGGUAAUAAAUGUACCAUUCUAAUAUAAGAUGUUAAUCAUAGGGGAAACUGGGGUAUGUGGGAAUUUUUUUUUGCUGUCAUUGCAGUUUUUCUACAAAUCUAAAACUAUCCUAAAAAUCUUCUUUAAAUAAAACAGUUUCCAAGGCCGUACCCACAAUGGUUCCAAUUCUGAGUCUGUGGUGGGUCACAGGAAUCUGCAUUUUUAAAAAACAGAACCCUAUAUAAUUAGGAUGCAGCCAGACCUGGUGGUUCAUGCCUGUAAUCCCAACACUCUGGGAGACCAAGGCGGGAGGACCGCUUGAGCCUAGGAGUUAAGGACCAACCUAGGCAAAAAGCAAGAUCCUAUCUCCACAAAAUUAAAAAAAUUUUAAUUACUCCUUGGGAGGCUGAGGUGGGAGGAUUGUUUGACCCCGCCCCACUCCCAGCCAAUCUUUAAGCCUUAGCUGAUAGGUGGGCCCUCUGUGAAACCUUCUCACGCUGCCGUCUACUUUCCCAGCUCUUCAGAACACGGCUCACCCUAUCAUAGACACGAUCACACCCUGAUGCAAUCAAUCCUCUGCAGUCAAUUCCCCAUCUGAGCUAAUGGCAUCAACUACAGCUGCUCAGGCUCAAACCUGCCCUGCUGGCCUUGAUCUGUCCUUUCCUUGACCACCUCCCACUGAUGUGUGAGCCACUGACAACUCUGUCGCCCAGGCUGGAGUGCAGUGGCGCGAUCUUGGCCCACUGCAACCUCCACCUCCCAGGUUCAAGUGAUUCUCCUGCCUCAGCCUCCUGAGUAACUGGGACUACAGGUGUUCACCAUCAUGCCUGGCUAAUUUUUUUGCAUUUUUAGUAGAGACGGAGUUUCACCAUGUUGGC
RNAcentral lists this long non-coding RNA (1873 nucleotides) under Homo sapiens (human). RNAcentral's name for it is "non-protein coding lnc-BICRA-4:1". The record is from RNAcentral. Lineage: Eukaryota; Metazoa; Chordata; Mammalia; Primates; Hominidae.